UUUAUGUUGUCCUGCAGCAGUGAACAGGAAUCAAACACUGAAGAUGACACUGUCAGCAUCCUGAAGACUGAGGAGCAAAGUGAUUCUGAUGAACCAACCGAGAGACGCUUGUACACAGGAAGGUACAAAGUCUUAUCAAAGGGGUUACAGAAGGCAGACAAGCAGCUGAAGGAACAACCCAAGAGAAAUAAGUGUCUUGCCCUGCUGCGUUCAGUGCUAGCAGUGGGUCUAGUGACGACGGUGGGUGUGCUGUCUUACUGGUGGGCCUCAGAAAACCUGGACUGGAUCUACUGAAUUCAAAACACACACACACACA
This is a long non-coding RNA of Carassius auratus (goldfish), 316 nucleotides long. RefSeq lists it as uncharacterized. The transcript has 3 exons. The record is from RefSeq and is a predicted model, not a curated record. Lineage: Eukaryota; Metazoa; Chordata; Actinopteri; Cypriniformes; Cyprinidae.